Brienomyrus brachyistius is the source of this 103-nucleotide small nuclear RNA. Lineage: Eukaryota; Metazoa; Chordata; Actinopteri; Osteoglossiformes; Mormyridae. The record is from RefSeq and is a predicted model, not a curated record.
AUAAACUGGCUGGACUUAUAAUAAAAAUAGAAUGAUACAGAGAAUAUUAGCAUGGCCCCUGUGCAUGGACGUGAAAAAUUAUAUAUAGCGGUGGUGUGUGGAU